CAUUCACGAGAAAGAGAGUCCAUUCUGUCACUUAAGCCUGCUCAGUCAAAUGGCACAUCCUGUUCAAUGUUACCGCGAAUAUUUGAAAGAUCCAUUGUAUUAACUAAUAUUUUCAUCAUGGACUACAUGUAAAGUGUAGAUACWGMUUUCAAUACCAGUGUUGUCCUGGAUACAGCUGCUAGUAUCGACACAGCUCUGUCUUCUGUGCCUGGAGCAGUCUGGACUGGUUGAAGCCGAGUUGGACAGAUUAUUUUCAAAGCGUUUCAGACAAGUCUGCUGUGAAUCAUCAUAAUCAAUAUACUAUACCGCAUAAACCUGCUCUCCGCCACCAGUACAAGGAGAUGAUCGAAGGUGAACAAGCAAUACUUCAGCCUGGUGUUGUUGUAGGCAAGGAGCUUUCACUCAGAUGGAACCAGAUUUCAGCUGCUGUGCAAUGUUGAAGUCCUUCCUCCCAGAGAUGUAAAAGCAUCCCCCGGACGAGACACAACCCGGCAAACAUAGAUUUUUGAGAAGAUCAGAAUAUUUGCAAUGAAAAGGCCAUGGCCUGCUCUAAAGGCUAGAUUCCUUUCUUUAUAUCAUAACAUGACCUGAACCACAGUUACUCAAAGAAUCUUAUGAUAUAGGUCUAGAUAUUGUUUUUACCUUUAUUAUACAACAAUAGGCAAUUUCAUACAGUAAAUGGUUUGGUUAAUGGGGUAACUUGGUGACAUAAUGUUCAGAGAAUCCAUUUAGGCAAUUUGGUGAAAGUAUUCAUUUUCUAAAUAUACUGUAUGUUCUCCAAGGAUUAAUGUAGAUCAGGUGUGAAAAUCACAGCAAAAUGUUUGAAUGCCUUUUUCUCCUAAAUUGGAUAUUAGAUUUUUCAACUUUUAAAGCAGCAUUAAUUCCACAUGUUUCCUCCAACUAAAGUGUAUGAUAUGCCCUUUUGAAACUCUGUACAAAACACAAUUUGAAAGUUUUAACAUUUAGUAAUCAACAAAUACAAAAAAUUAUGGGGCAAAAAAUACGAAAAAAUAAGAGAAAGCUACAUGACAAUGCAGUGCCAUAAAAACAAGUUCACAAACUUUCCGCCAUGUUGAGGCGGAUCCGCACCCGUGUUGAGACUGCCGGGGAGAUGCGUCACCCAGAGUGAGGGAAAGUGCUCACUGCUCCACAGCGAGCCAAGAAAAAGAUGGGGUGAGACCACACCAUCCCUGUCUGUUGAUGUAUGCCACCUUUUGGGAUAUAACUUGACCCAUGGGGGUCCCCAGUGACAACAGCCGCGAGUCCUUCCACUGUGCUAGAGCACGUAGACAGGACGGGGACACCUGUAGUGACCGGUUUAGGUGGCGCGAUGUGUACAAGCGAGUGUCUAUUCCCCACCGCCUUUAAAGGUCGCAUCAGCAACAGCCCGAAAGGAACCACAGCUAUCAUAGAAGCCAUCAUCCCCAAUAUGCGCAGGCAGCCGAAAUUGAGCGAAGCCGGAAACCGGUCUCCCUCUGCAAGGAUAAGAACGCACAAUUCUCGACUGGGUCUAACUCAAGACCCAGAAACGGAAUCCGUUGUGGACUCAAACAUCUCUUCUAUUGAUUGACUAUGAAACCCAGAAACUGAACAUGGGAAACCAGCAUGGAUGUGUGUAACACCCCCUACUCACUUGGCUCUGCCACCACCAGCCAAUUGUCCAGGUAGUCCAAUAUCCUGAGCCCCAGACACUGCAUCGGUACCAAACUCAGCUCCACAACCUUURUGAAAGUGCGAGGCGAGAGGGAAAGCCCGAAAGGGAGCCUCAGGACCUUUCUGUGAGGGGAAUAUAUGGCCAUGAAUGUACGCCUCCUUCAGGUCGAUGGAGGUGAACCAAUUGCCCCGGCGCACUGACUGUAACUGUAACAACUAGCUGUUCGUGAGCAUUCUGAAUUUGUAGGUGUGCUUGUUUAGGACACACAGGUCUAAAAAGGGAUGCAAAGUCCAAACCAAGAAAUACCGGCUAUACCAGCCGUCCUGGGCCUCUGACAUAGGAACCAUUCGGUUUGCCUACUUCUGGAGAAGGGAAGAAAUCUCCCUCAAAAUGGGCAUUGAGGCUUCAGGAACAGUUGACAUAAUGAUGCCUUUAAAUCCUUGGGGACACACAAUGAAUUGUAGCCUGUACCCCAUGUCACUGUUUGCAUAAUCCAGGGCAACACUGCGCAUGCAAGCCAUUGGUCUACACAGAGAGUCUCCCAUAAAGUGCCAUCUAAACGGGUUCAACGACACCUUGUGGGCUCUGAGAAUUUUGUUAUUUUUCCAUGCCUUUUUUAAUUUACACAACUCUCGACAAGAGAGUGUCUGACUGUGUGGGAAACAAACUAUUUUUAUUAAGCUCACAUGGAUGACACAACCCUCUUGACACCCGUGAACACCGUGGAACUUGAAAUAAUACUUAAUGUGUUUAAGUGAAGAUGUUUACCUGAAGCCCGGUCCACUCUGGGUUCGGGGGCUUCGGCUACCAGUGACGUACCCGAUAUACCUUGCCACUUAGGGGUACUGUUGUCACAGCGAACAUCUGAAGAGGGGACCAUGCCCCCUCCCCUCUCACCAGGUGCACGGGGGCUGCUGCCUACCCGCCCCAGCCCCUCCAUCCUCUCCACAUCCACGAAGUGGGAAUACCCUUGCAACAUCAGCUUGGCUGAAUGUGGCUGGGCUCAGGUUGUCUUAAGCUCACUUCACAAAACUAGUUACCAAUUAACACACAACGUGCAGAAGAAUGAGCACGCCCUCCUUAAGUGGGACAGUUAAGUUGGAGUAAAGACGUUCCAAUGUUUGUUUUUUAAAGAAAGGCAUGAAUUGUUCUGCUCAGCUCAAGGUGAAGAGCAGAAKAAUUUAAGGAACUAAUCCGUGACUUGGGUUUAUCACCUGUGGAAGGUGGUGCUUGUAAUGAGGCACGGUGUUCAUUGGCCUUGUCAGACGUGAUUCAAAUGUUCUUCCGUAGAGGGCGCUGGUGCGCGAACUCUCCCUAGCCUCCCUAGUUGACCGACUGAAAGUUGAACUAUCAUUGAGGACUAUGACCCUCCGAUGAGCUCCACAACUAGUCAUUCAUAUACCCUGGUUGCUUGUUGUUUGAUUUGAAAUCCCCACACCUGUUAAGGUUUUUCCUCCAGAGAAAAAAAAAAGAUUUACCAGAGGCUCCCAUAGUGCCCGGGAGCUGAGACUCGAGCACACCGUGUAGUCUGUGCCUGGCAGAGGGUUCAUAAUGCAGCCUGAGUUGUUGUCUCACCGGAGCCCGCUGCUUCGCGCCUGCAAGGCUUCUGGGGCUGCUAAAUGUGGGAGUUAUUUCCUUCAAUGAUUUAUUAGGUUAUCUCUACACCAUUGCCCUGGGAUUUCAAGUGGGCUGCAGAGUGAAGAGGCCUAAGCUUUAUCAUCCCAACACUCCUGUUCUGACUCGCUCACUUUGCAAGAAUGCAUAUUCACAUCACUAGCCUAAAACACACAUCAAAGCAUUACAUUCUUUUUUGAUGUGUAGGUUAUUCAUUUAACGAAUGAUUGCCUUUUGUAUUUCCAUAACGCUGUUAGACUGUAGCAAACAAAUUACACAUACAUACUGAAGGUGUUGCUUGGUCGGUUUCAAAGUGCAAUUCCCUCAUUAGUCACAUGUCUGUGCUGUUGUUUGGUCUAGACGGGCAGUGGAUGCCAUCAGAACAUUUACAAUGUCUGAGUGUCAACUUGUUCCCACAUUUCUGUUGAUUUGUUUUGCUCAUGGGUCAAAGUCUUUAAUAUUUUGCAUGAUAGUAACAUUACUCCCUGUAUUCUGUAAGGAUACCUUUUAUAGUCGCCCUAUGUUUUUCAAUGGACAAUAAACACCGUAGCCUACCUUGACUGAACUUGACAGACAAAAAGAGCAUUUCAGAUGCUUCCCCUAUUUAGCCUUAAUUCAUGUGGAAGAAAGUAGGGUCAUUUUCCACAUGAGUUCAGUUUAUGCCGACCCCUUUAGCUGAUCAGUGAAUUGGAUUGGUCGGAACACAAGCUUUUUUGRUUUACUUGAAUUUAUUGAAGAGCUCUGUUAUUACUCCAUUUUCUAUGUAGCCCAUUGCUUCUGAACAUCUUGCAUCAGUACACAGUCAUCUGUGUCCUGGCAUAGGCUGCAAAUGUAGUCAUGGGAGACUAUUUUACCACAAUGAUAAAGAAGUGCUUUGGAAUUUGAUUGCAUCAUUGUGUCUCUUGAUAACAUUUGUCUCUCCUCAUGAAUGAKUUCAUUGCCUGGGUGUGGGCCAUUGUUUUAUUUACAGAUGCCAAAAUGCAAAACGUGUCACUGCUUGACACCACAGGAAGUGAUGGAUUUUUCAUGCCACUUCACCCAUGUACUUAAACUGAGUCAUCAGCCAAUUAUAUGAUAGUACUGAAUCAUCUCUCUAAGUAGAGGACUUUGAAACACUGACCUGCAAUUACUUUAAUAGGUUAAUAUUUACUUUUGACCUGCAAUUACUUGAAUAGGUUAAUAUAAUUCUCUCGUGAAAUAUACUAUCUUUUACGGUCAUUCAGAUGGUUUCAGCCAUAUUGUGUAUGGGAAAUCAAUACCCACAGUAUCAUUGGAUAAGAUAAUAAGAACGUCCAAAGUACAUCGAUAUGCUGCACGCUAUUUUGGAUUACUCUGGAGCUUUUUGACUACACAGUGUCCAGGUGCCCGACUCACUGCUGAAAAAUAUGUUACUAUUGAAAUACAACUGCUAUCAACAUGAUCACCUUUGUUGUAAUUAUAUAGUAGCCAAAAGGCUUAGUAUCUGUUACAUGUUUUUCAAGUAUGAGAUCUUUGCUAAACCUAUGAGAGACAUUUGAAUGUCUUUACAGGGCUGUGAAUGUGAGGAAGCUAUCAGGUCUGAGUGCUCUGAUUAUCAGUCCUCACACUUGAUAGCCCAUCUCCUCUACAAUGAAAGGGGAAAUGGCAGUAAUGGUGAGAGAAAUGCAAUUUAGAUGUGAGACAAACUCUUGAUAAACCACUUCCACUUGUUAAACUACUUACAAAAGCCA
Non-coding RNA from Salvelinus sp. IW2-2015, 4977 nucleotides. Lineage: Eukaryota; Metazoa; Chordata; Actinopteri; Salmoniformes; Salmonidae. The record is from RefSeq and is a predicted model, not a curated record.